RNAcentral lists this ribosomal RNA (1143 nucleotides) under Halomonas campaniensis. RNAcentral describes it as "bacterial SSU rRNA". It matches the Rfam family "Bacterial small subunit ribosomal RNA", at positions 215 to 1351 of the family's 1533-position model. Lineage: Bacteria; Pseudomonadati; Pseudomonadota; Gammaproteobacteria; Oceanospirillales; Halomonadaceae. The record is from RNAcentral.
GCGCUAUCGGAUGAGCCUAUGUCGGAUUAGCUGGUUGGUGAGGUAAUGGCUCACCAAGGCGACGAUCCGUAGCUGGUCUGAGAGGAUGAUCAGCCACAUCGGGACUGAGACACGGCCCGAACUCCUACGGGAGGCAGCAGUGGGGAAUAUUGGACAAUGGGCGCAAGCCUGAUCCAGCCAUGCCGCGUGUGUGAAGAAGGCCCUCGGGUUGUAAAGCACUUUCAGUGGGGAAGAAAGCCUUGGGGCUAAUACCCUCGAGGAAGGACAUCACCCACAGAAGAAGCACCGGCUAACUCCGUGCCAGCAGCCGCGGUAAUACGGAGGGUGCGAGCGUUAAUCGGAAUUACUGGGCGUAAAGCGCGCGUAGGUGGCUUGAUAAGCCGGUUGUGAAAGCCCCGGGCUCAACCUGGGAACGGCAUCCGGAACUGUCAGGCUAGAGUGCAGGAGAGGAAGGUAGAAUUCCCGGUGUAGCGGUGAAAUGCGUAGAGAUCGGGAGGAAUACCAGUGGCGAAGGCGGCCUUCUGGACUGACACUGACACUGAGGUGCGAAAGCGUGGGUAGCAAACAGGAUUAGAUACCCUGGUAGUCCACGCCGUAAACGAUGUCGACUAGCCGUUGGGAGCCUCGAGUUCUUAGUGGCGCAGUUAACGCGAUAAGUCGACCGCCUGGGGAGUACGGCCGCAAGGUUAAAACUCAAAUGAAUUGACGGGGGCCCGCACAAGCGGUGGAGCAUGUGGUUUAAUUCGAUGCAACGCGAAGAACCUUACCUACCCUUGACAUCGUGCGAACUUGGUAGAGAUACCUUGGUGCCUUCGGGAACGCACAGACAGGUGCUGCAUGGCUGUCGUCAGCUCGUGUUGUGAAAUGUUGGGUUAAGUCCCGUAACGAGCGCAACCCUUGUCCCUAUUUGCCAGCGAUUCGGUCGGGAACUCUAGGGAGACUGCCGGUGACAAACCGGAGGAAGGUGGGGACGACGUCAAGUCAUCAUGGCCCUUACGGGUAGGGCUACACACGUGCUACAAUGGUCGGUACAAAGGGUUGCAAAGCGGCGACGUGGAGCUAAUCCCAUAAAGCUGAUCUCAGUCCGGAUCGGAGUCUGCAACUCGACUCCGUGAAGUCGGAAUCGCUAGUAAUCGUGAAUCA